This 440-nucleotide ribosomal RNA is filed under the name uncultured bacterium. RNAcentral's name for it is "partial 16S ribosomal RNA". It matches the Rfam family "Bacterial small subunit ribosomal RNA", at positions 338 to 795 of the family's 1533-position model. The record is from RNAcentral.
CCUACGGGUGGCUGCAGUAGGGAAUAUUGCUCAAUGGGGGAAACCCUGAAGCAGCAACGCCGCGUGGAGGCUGAAGGUUUUCGGAUUGUAAACUCCUUUUGUUAGAGAAGAUACUGACGGUAUCUCACGAAUAAGCACCGGCUAACUCCUUGCCAGCAGCCGCGGUAAUACGGAGUGUGCAAGCGUUACUCGGAAUCACUGGGCGUAAAGAUCGCGUAGGCGGGAUAGCAAGUCAGAUGUGAAAUCACAUGGCUUAACCAUAGAUCUGCAUUUGAAACUGUGAGUCUAGAGUAUGGUAGAGGUAGGGGGAAUUCUUGGUGUAGGGGUAAAAUCCGUAGAGAUCAAGAGGAAUACUCAUUGCGAAGGCGACCUGCUAGAACAUAACUGACGCUGAGGCGCGAAAGCGUGGGGAGCAAACAGGAUUAGAUACCCCUGUAGUC